Molecule: ribosomal RNA, 564 nt
Filed under: uncultured crenarchaeote
Lineage: Archaea; Thermoproteati; Thermoproteota
Description: bacterial SSU rRNA
Rfam family: Archaeal small subunit ribosomal RNA
Source: RNAcentral
GGAGUCACGCCAGGAACCUUACCAGGAGAGACAGCAGGGUGAAGGUCAAGCUGAAGACUUUACCAGACAAGCUGAGAGGUGGUGCAUGGCCGUCGCCAGCUCGUGCCGUGAGAUGUCCUGUUAAGUCAGGUAACGAGCGAGAUCCCUGCCACUAGUUGCUAUCAUUAUUCUCAGGAAUAGUGGGGCGAAUUAGUGGGACUGCCGUUGUUAAAACGGAGGAAGGAAGGGGCUACGGCAGGUCAGUAUGCCCCGAAACUCUGGGGCCACACGCGGGCUGCAAUGGUAGCGACAAUGAGCUCCAAACUCGAAAGAGAGUGGCAAUCUCUAAACGCUACCACAGUUAUGACUGAGGGCUGUAACUCGCCCUCACGAAUAUGGAAUCCCUAGUAACCGCGUGUCAUUACCGCGCGGUGAAUACGUCCCUGCUCCUUGCACACACCGCCCGUCGUUUCAUCGAAGUUUGCUUUUAGCGAGGUGAUGUUUAAUUGACAUUAUCGAACUUGAGGUAAGUGACGAGGGAAAAGUCGUAACAAGGUGACCGUAGGGGAACCUGCGGUCGGAUCA